Non-coding RNA from Glossina fuscipes fuscipes, 46 nucleotides. Lineage: Eukaryota; Metazoa; Arthropoda; Insecta; Diptera; Glossinidae. The record is from Rfam.
UCACCGGCUUCUUUUGAAGCCAACUUCUCAUCACUGAUAGGAUUAG